RNAcentral lists this long non-coding RNA (298 nucleotides) under Danio rerio (zebrafish). RNAcentral's name for it is "lncRNA (ENSDARG00000117301.1)". The record is from RNAcentral. Lineage: Eukaryota; Metazoa; Chordata; Actinopteri; Cypriniformes; Danionidae.
UACAAAAUUCCCCUUAAAGCCUGUCAUUUCAGAUCUGAUUUGGUUACAGAUUGGUGCAUAUAGGGUUGAAAAAGCAUCACGAAAGCAGAUCCUCAUUCUGUCUGUUGCUCUGACCUCUUAGAACCAGACGUUCCUCCUGACACUCCUCUGGGUCACAGAUGAUAGAGAAAUCCGCCAUUCGCACAGGUCCCUAAGGAGAAUCCAGGAAUCAGAGGUAUUGUGUGGUGUGCUGGGGAAGAGUAGAUGGGGUCCUGUCAUGCUCAUUCACACCAGUCGCCAGACAGACAGAAGCUCUGCC